GAUGAACGCUGGCGGCGUGCCUAAUACAUGCAAGUCGAGCGAGCAGAUAAGGAGCUUGCUCCUUUGACGUUAGCGGCGGACGGGUGAGUAACACGUGGGUAACCUACCUAUAAGACUGGGAUAACUUCGGGAAACCGGAGCUAAUACCGGAUAAUAUUUCGAACCGCAUGGUUCGAUAGUGAAAGAUGGUUUUGCUAUCACUUAUAGAUGGACCCGCGCCGUAUUAGCUAGUUGGUAAGGUAACGGCUUACCAAGGCGACGAUACGUAGCCGACCUGAGAGGGUGAUCGGCCACACUGGAACUGAGACACGGUCCAGACUCCUACGGGAGGCAGCAGUAGGGAAUCUUCCGCAAUGGGCGAAAGCCUGACGGAGCAACGCCGCGUGAGUGAUGAAGGUCCUCGGAUCGUAAAACUCUGUUAUUAGGGAAGAACAUACGUGUAAGUAACUGUGCACGUCUUGACGGUACCUAAUCAGAAAGCCACGGCUAACUACGUG
Molecule: ribosomal RNA, 497 nt
Filed under: uncultured bacterium
Lineage: Bacteria
Description: partial 16S ribosomal RNA
Rfam family: Bacterial small subunit ribosomal RNA
Source: RNAcentral